GCGCUCGUAGCUCAGAGGAUAGAGCGGCAGGUUGCGGACCUGUAGGUCGGGGGUUCGACUCCCUCCGAGCGCG
This 73-nucleotide transfer RNA is filed under the name Chthonomonadales bacterium. RNAcentral's name for it is "tRNA-Arg". It matches the Rfam family "tRNA". Rfam says of the family: Transfer RNA (tRNA) molecules are approximately 80 nucleotides in length. Their secondary structure includes four short double-helical elements and three loops (D, anti-codon, and T loops). Lineage: Bacteria; Bacillati; Armatimonadota; Chthonomonadia; Chthonomonadales. The record is from RNAcentral.